GUCCUGACAUAACAGAAUAUAGGAACAAUCCAAAACAUAAAAUCAAGGUUUAUUUACAAAACAGAAACAGAAACCUAAAAAUAAGUUUGAUAGACAGCAGACAACAACGACCCCUGAAAUACAGAGUCCUGACGUUAGACAGGCACAUAUAAUAAGUAAUAAAUGUGUUGGAAUUUAACCAGUUUUGGGACACUUCAUCCUUCCUUAACCUGAGAUAAUUGUGAAGGAACACAACAUAUGAAUAAGCUCCUGUUUUCCAUGUUUAACCUGUAGAUUAAACUCUCGAUCGGCGGAAUAACAAAAUUAAUGAAGUCAUAUAUAAUAAAACUUGAAGAAAACUAUAUAAUUGGGGAUUUAAAGAUAAUCCAAAACAUAAUUCUAAUAAACUCAUCAUAUACACCAGUAUUUAAAUUUUGUAUUUGGCUAGACGCGCAUUUCGUCUACGAAAGAUUCACCAGUGACGCUCGAAUAUAAAAAGACCAAAUAAAGUACGAAGUUGCAGAUCAUUGAGGACGAAAAACUCAUAAAAUUUGGUCAAAUACAGCUACGGUAAGCUAUUCCUGAGUACUGAAAGCCUUAGUAUUUCAAACAUUAAAAGUUUUCUAAACAGUUCAUUUCAUGUCAACACAGAAGAGCUAGACUACUUGACUGGUAAUAUCCUCAACAGGAGAAAGGGAACUAUACACACAUUCUUAGUUAUCAAAUAAACAUCUACCCAACUCCCCAAUCCCAGUAACUGAAAGAAGAAAUUCUGGUAAAAAAAUACUCGAUAACUGUGCCAGAAAAAGGGUAAAUAGUUAUCAAAGGUACCUGGAUUUUAAUUUAAUACGCCAGACGCGCGUUUCGUCUACAUAAGACUCAUGAGCAAGAUGGACCUUCACUUGACUCUAUCUGUAUCAAGGUUGUUUCAUCUUGAAAUUUUUAGCACAUACAAUAAUCUAAAUGUAAAAUGAACACAUUGAUUUCUAAUCCCUUCAAAGAGUCUGAGGCUUUAUCCUCUCUGAUGUUAACAAAACGAUGAAUCGUAAGAAGACUAACGAUUAUCCAAUACCAGGAAUGAGGUACCUUAGAUGUACUAGGCAAAACCUAUCAGAAUUUUCGGUCAUAAAUGCUCGUCAAUUUCCCAUUUUAUUUUGAUUUUGAUCUUUUAUAUUUUGAGCCUCACGAAUGGGUCUUUCAUAAACGAAACUUGCGUAUGGCGUACUUAAUGUUAAGCCUGGUAAUUGUUAUAAGUUUUUUUUUAAUACAUGAUGUCUUGGUCGCAUGACUUUUGACGUGUGCAUCUAACUUUCCAAUUUAUGGGUUGUUCUGAUAUUGGUGAGUUUAUAUUAAACACUAUAUACCAUAUCGCUAUUAAGUCCCAUCCGAGAAACCUCGUCACGUUGACAACUUCUUGUGUGUGUCGAGUGUUGCUGAAACAAAGGUCAUCGGUGACGAGCUGCGGUCCGACAAAGUUCAAACGUUAAAAAUAGGAUAUAAUCUUUUUAUGCAUAAAUCAAAAUCAGAAAAAAUGCCUUGAUUGAACUAUUUACGAUGAUUAAAUAUGUGUUUUUGAUGCUCAUGUUUAUGCAGAAUACAUUGUUUUAAAAGGGCACCAGAUAGAUUCAACAAAAAGUUUGUUUAAUUCUGGAUUGGAUUAGAUGAUGAAUCAGCUGUAACAAAAAAAACUUGUACGAUUUGCUAUAUUUAUUCCCAAUACUUCAUACAAUUCUGGAUUGGAUUAGAUGAUGAGAGACUGUAUGUUUUGUAAGAUUGCAUGCUACAGAUAUAUACUUUGAAAUGAAACAAGGCUGGGACACUACCUCAUGGGAUACUAAUCAUGUAGGUUUACAAAAAUUUACCAAAUUAAUGAAAAUUGUUAAAAAAAUUACUAUAAAGGGCAAUAACUCCUUAAGGGGUCAACUGACCGUUUUGGUCAUGUUGAUUUAUUUGUAGAUCUUACUUUGCUGAACAUUAUUGCUGUUUGCAGUUUAUCUCUAUCUAUAAUAGUAUAUUGGUAUAUAAAUGUCUAAAUAAACAUACUACUGGGUUAGUAUUGAAUCACCUGGUAAAGGAUGGUGUCUAUCAAAUAACUUUAAAAUACAAUCUGUACAAACUGUUUUCGCUAGAGUAAAAAAUUACACCCUUUACACAACAUAUAUGAAUAUGAAGCAGCUGUAACAUUUACAAAAAUUUACCAAAUUAAUGAAAAUUGUUAAAAAAUUACUAUAAAGGGCAAUAACUCCUUAAGGGGUCAACUGACCGUUUUGGUCAUGUUGAUUUAUUUGUAGAUCUUACUUUGCUGAACAUUAUCGCUGUUUGCAGUUUAUCUCUAUCUAUAAUAGUAUCCAAGAUAAU
RNAcentral lists this long non-coding RNA (2337 nucleotides) under Mytilus galloprovincialis (Mediterranean mussel). The record is from RNAcentral. Lineage: Eukaryota; Metazoa; Mollusca; Bivalvia; Mytilida; Mytilidae.